Molecule: ribosomal RNA, 1322 nt
Filed under: metagenome
Description: bacterial LSU rRNA
Rfam family: Bacterial large subunit ribosomal RNA
Source: RNAcentral
AGUGGAUGGGGAGCAACCUAGUUGUGCGUGUGUAAAGGUAGUGCCAAGAAAAGCGAUGAUCAUGUUGAAAAUCAAUUCCCGGUACCCGAAACCGACACAGGUGGGCAAGUAGAGAAUACUAAGGGGCGCGAGGUAACUCUCUCCAAGGAACUCGGCAAAAUGACCCCGUAACUUAGGGAGAAGGGGUGCCACCGAGAGGUGGUCGCAGUGAAGAGGCCCAGGCGACUGUUUAGCAAAAACAUAGGUCUCUGCAAACUCGAAAGAGGAGGUAUAGGGGCUGACGCCUGCCCAGUGCCGGAAGGUUAAAGAAGUUGGUCAGUCUUAGGAUGAAGCUAGCGACUGAAGCCCCGGUGAGCGGCGGCCGUAACUAUAACGGUCCUAAGGUAGCGAAAUUCCUUGUCGGGUAAGUUCCGACCCGCACGAAAGGCGUAACGAUCUGGGCGCUGUCUCGGAGAGAGGCUCGGCGAAAUAGGAUUGACUGUGAAGAUACGGACUACCUGCAUUUGGACAGAAAGACCCUAUGAAGCUUUACUAUAGCUUGGAAUUGUGUUCGGGCUUCCUGUGCGCAGGAUAGGUGGGAGGCGUAGAAGGUAUUCUUGUGGGGAUACUGGAGCCAACGGUGAGAUACCACUCUCAGGAGGCUAGAAUUCUAACUUAAUUAAGGACAGUUUCAGGUGGGUAGUUUGACUGGGGCGGUCGCCUCCAAAAAGGUAACGGAGGCGUACAAAGGUUCCCUCAGACUGGUUGGAAAUCAGUCGAAGAGUGCAAAGGCAGAAGGGAGCUUGACUGCGAGAAGUACAGUUCGAGCAGGGUGGAAACACGGUCUUAGUGAUCCGACGGUGCUGUGUGGAAGGGCCGUCGCUCAACGGAUAAAAGUUACUCUAGGAUAACAGGCUAAUCUCCCCCAAGAGUUCACAUCGACGGGGAGGUUUGGCACCUCGAUGUCGGCUCAUCGCAACCUGGGGCGGAAGUACGUCCCAAGGGUUGGGCUGUUCGCCCAUUAAAGCGGUACGUGAGCUGGGUUCAGAACGUCGUGAGACAGUUCGGUCCAUAUCCGAUGUAGGCGUGAGAAUAUUGAGAGGAGCCUUCCUUAGUACGAGAGGACCGGGAAGGACGCACCGCUGGUGUACCUGUUAUGAUGCCAAUUGUAAACGCAGGGUAGCCAAGUGCGGAGAGGAUAACCGCUGAAAGCAUCUAAGUGGGAAGCCCACCUCAAGAUGAGUAUUCUGGUGUAAGGUCACGGGAAGACGACCCGUAAAUAGGCACGAGGUGGAAGUGCAGAGAUGUAUGAAGCCGAAGUGUACUAAUAGACCGUCGGCUUG